Molecule: unclassified non-coding RNA, 22 nt
Filed under: Chlamydomonas reinhardtii
Lineage: Eukaryota; Viridiplantae; Chlorophyta; Chlorophyceae; Chlamydomonadales; Chlamydomonadaceae
Description: small RNA Cre_2129
Source: RNAcentral
UAACGGUAGCUGUGGUGGUGGU